CCCUAUGGUGGAGGAUAACCCCGGGAAACUGGGGAUAAUACUCCAUAAGUCAGGAGUACUGGAAUGUCUCCUAACUGAAAGUUGCGGCGCCAUAGGAUGAAUCUGCGGCCGAUUAGGUAGUUGUUGGGGUAACGGCCCAACAAGCCUGUAAUCGGUACGGGUUGUGGGAGCAAGAGCCCGGAGAUGGAAUCUCCUUCACGAUUCCAGGCCCUACGGGGCGCAGCAUGCGCGAAAACUUUUACAAUGCAGGAAACUGUGAUAAGGGAACCCCGAGUGCCCGUAAACGCGGGCUGUCCCGGUGUUUAAAACACAUCGGAAGAAAGGGCCGGGCAAGACCGGUGCCAGCCGCCGCGGUAAUACCGGCGGCUCGAGUGGUGACCACUUUUAUUGGGCUUAAGCGUUCGUAGCUUGAUUUUUAGUCUCUUGGGAAUCUCACGGCUUACUGUGAGCGUCUAGAGAUACUGGGAUCUAGGGACGGGAGAGGUAGAGGUACUCAGGGUGAGUGAAUUCGUAUCUUGAGGACACCGA
Molecule: ribosomal RNA, 528 nt
Filed under: uncultured methanogenic archaeon
Lineage: Archaea; Methanobacteriati; Methanobacteriota
Description: bacterial SSU rRNA
Rfam family: Archaeal small subunit ribosomal RNA
Source: RNAcentral